CCGGCGUCCCCGGGGGACCCCCGCGCCCCACGGAGCUGCCCCCGGGGAAGCGGCGGCUGCACCUGGCGGAGCCGACAGCAGGGAACAAAAACUUGGGGGUUUAUUUCUUUUUUUUUUUUUUCCCCCUCGUUUAGGUUCCGUAUCGGAGCAGGCUGGAAGGCUGCCGUAUACUCAGGCGUGUAAGAAGAUUAUGUCAGCAGCGGGCAGAGGACUACUGGAAGGAAAGUCCAGGAAAUCACUACUCAGAAAUAUACAUGCCAGAGUACUAAAGGCAUAGGCCUACUUCUACUCCUGUUGAAAUAAAGAGCCUCGUCCCACUGACUUCGGAGGGAGA
RNAcentral lists this long non-coding RNA (334 nucleotides) under Struthio camelus australis. RNAcentral's name for it is "lncRNA (ENSSCUG00000003508.1)". Lineage: Eukaryota; Metazoa; Chordata; Aves; Struthioniformes; Struthionidae. The record is from RNAcentral.